UACACACGUGCUACAAUGGGUGGUACAAGAGAAGCCAACUCGCGAGAGCGCGCCAAUCUCAAAAAGCCAUCCUCAGUUCGGAUUGGAGUCUGCAACUCGACUCCAUGAAGUUGGAAUCGCUAGUAAUCGCGGAUCAGCACGCCGCGGUGAAUACGUUCCCGGGCCUU
Molecule: ribosomal RNA, 167 nt
Filed under: uncultured Smithella sp.
Lineage: Bacteria; Pseudomonadati; Thermodesulfobacteriota; Syntrophia; Syntrophales; Smithellaceae
Description: partial 16S ribosomal RNA
Rfam family: Bacterial small subunit ribosomal RNA
Source: RNAcentral